GGGGGUUUGGGUGAGUGGUUUAAACCAGCAGUCUUGAAAACUGCCGAGGUCUUACGGCCUCCGUGAGUUCGAAUCUCACAGCCCCCGCCA
This 90-nucleotide transfer RNA is filed under the name Azonexus sp. RNAcentral describes it as "tRNA-Ser". It matches the Rfam family "tRNA". Rfam says of the family: Transfer RNA (tRNA) molecules are approximately 80 nucleotides in length. Their secondary structure includes four short double-helical elements and three loops (D, anti-codon, and T loops). Lineage: Bacteria; Pseudomonadati; Pseudomonadota; Betaproteobacteria; Rhodocyclales; Azonexaceae. The record is from RNAcentral.